Long non-coding RNA from Gadus macrocephalus (Pacific cod), 1321 nucleotides. RefSeq lists it as uncharacterized. The transcript has 16 exons. The record is from RefSeq and is a predicted model, not a curated record. NCBI's taxonomy places the organism in Eukaryota, Metazoa, Chordata, Actinopteri, Gadiformes, Gadidae.
UUUCUUGAGUCUCGAGUUCCCCAUUGACAUCCUUGGCGCCAUGAUGUCGGCAAUGACUCCGUUUUCAUUCACUAGGUUAACCAGGCUGUGUUGGCUUUGUGAUGGGACUCGACCUUUUAAUGAAUCGGGUUUCAGUCACUAGGUAACGUGGCUGCCUUGUUUUUGUGCUGGAAAUCACAUUUUCAAUCGGGAAACAUACUGAACACAUGGUAGCAAGUUUGCUUCGAGUUUUGCUUAGCGGGGUGCUGACUAACUUGAAGAUCGAGUGAUGCUACCUCUCCAGAUGCUGAUAGUUAUCAAGAUGACAUGAUCGACAUCCAGAUGACUUGAUCGACUACAAGAAUGGUGCUCAUCAUGUACCAUCCAUCCCCGGCUCGUUGAUGGAUCCGAAGUGGCAGAUGCCUCCCUGAAGUGCAGUCUCCCAAUAAACUAGAAAGCCUCGGGAUGUGCUUCGCAUUGCUUAUCACAAGGCGAUGGGUCUACUUGACUGGAGAGAUGCAGUUUAUUCCUGAGCAUGAGGCGGUAGCGGUCAACUUGGUGGCUUGGUCUACUGCCGGUUCCAGAAAGCCUCCAUGGAGAAGAUGACUUGUAUCCUGCCCUUGAAAGCACCUCUAGAAAUAGUAAAAGGAUUUUGAGGAAGCGAAGGCCCUGUCAAAGGUGGAUGCCAAAUCGGAUUCAUUGGUUGAUUCUACUGGUGCCUCAAGUCAACGCAGUGUUUCCCAUAGACCAAUGUGUGGCGCAGCAGUGAAAUGCGGUUAUAGUUUAUACAUUACGAUGUUAGCCCCCCAAGCCGUGCAUUGUGGAUCCAUUUGUCAAAAAGUUGAAAAAUGUUAAACUUUUUCGGCACCGACUGAUCCGUCAUCCAAUCAGAUCGCGUGUGCAAUGUCUCGGGCUCUUACGACCCCGGAAAGCUCCCCCAUCUCUCGACGUCCUUUGACUGACGGUGCAGUGGGCAUGAGGCGUCACCCCCGCCACACAUUGUUACCGGGUCUGUGGGAAACACUGCAACGCUACAAAGAUUCAACAUGAAGUUGUGUUUGCUGUGAGUAUUCAAUAAAGAAAUGUGUCAUGGGUCAUCGAGAUGCAACAAAUGAUGACAACAUUCUGCCAAAUGAUUAAUAUGAUUAUAACCCUACCGUUCCAUAUAACUCUGACUGUUGCUUCAUUUAAUAUAAAAUACAGCGUUGUUCUGGAUCACCCAAUUCUAAUGGUGUGUAUGUCCUUUCUCUAGGUCAAUCCAUGGAUGGUACACUUCAUUGUUGGUUUUAGCAACUGUUGUAUAUUUUAUGUGACUUUGUCAAUAAAAAAACUUUGAAGUGUA